This 427-nucleotide ribosomal RNA is filed under the name uncultured bacterium. Its description in RNAcentral is "bacterial SSU rRNA". It matches the Rfam family "Bacterial small subunit ribosomal RNA", at positions 355 to 775 of the family's 1533-position model. The record is from RNAcentral.
UGAGGAAUUUUGCGCAAUGGGAGCAAUCCUGACGCAGCAACGCCGCGUGGGUGAAGAAGGCCUUCGGGUCGUAAAGCCCUGUCAGGUGGGAAGAAGGGUCCUAUCAGGAAAGGGGUGGGAUUUGACGGUACCACCAGAGGAAGCACCGGCUAACUCCGUGCCAGCAGCCGCGGUAAUACGGAGGGUGCGAGCGUUAUUCGGAAUUACUGGGCGUAAAGCGCGUGUAGGCGGGGAGCAAGUCUGAUGUGAAAGCCCCGGGCUUAACCCGGGAAGUGCAUUGGAAACUGUUGUGCUUGAGUACUGGAGAGGAAGGGGGAAUUCCCGGUGUAGAGGUGAAAUUCGUAGAGAUCGGGAGGAAUACCAGUGGCGAAGGCGCCCUUCUGGACGGUUACUGACGCUGAGACGCGAAAGCGUGGGGAGCAAACAG